Molecule: transfer RNA, 63 nt
Filed under: Marmota marmota marmota (Alpine marmot)
Lineage: Eukaryota; Metazoa; Chordata; Mammalia; Rodentia; Sciuridae
Also listed under: 3 other names
Rfam family: tRNA
About the family: Transfer RNA (tRNA) molecules are approximately 80 nucleotides in length. Their secondary structure includes four short double-helical elements and three loops (D, anti-codon, and T loops).
Source: Rfam by way of RNAcentral
AUGUGGCUCAGUGGUAAAGUGCUUUCCCUGUAUGCAAGAGGCCCUGGGUUCAAUACCCAGCAU